AGGCUGUGAUUAGUACAGGAUGCUGUGUGCGUAGAGGCUAUGAUUAGUACAGGAUACUGUGUGCGUAGAGGCUGUGAUUAGUACAGGAUUCUGUGUGUGUGUAUGGAGGCGGUGAUUAGUAAAGGGAUGCUGUGUGCGUAGAGGCUGUGAUUAGUACAGGAUUCUGUGUCCGUAGAGGCUGUGAUUAGUACAGGAUACUGUGUGCGUAGAGGCUCUGAUUGGUAAAGGGAUUCUGUGUCCGUACAGGCUGUGAUUAGUACAGGAUACUGUGUGCGUAGAGGCUGUGAUUAGUACAGGGUACUGUGUGCGUAGAGGCUGUGAUUAGUACAUGAUGCUGGGUAGAGGCUGUGAUUUGUACAUGAUGCUGUGUAGAGGCUGUGAUUAGUACAUGAUGCUGGGUAGAGGAUGUGAUUUGUACAGGCUGCUGUGUGUAGAGGCUUUGAUUAGUACAUGAUUAUGUGUAGUGGCUGUGAUUAGUACAGGAUGCUGAGUGUGUAGAGGCUUUGAUUAGUACAUGAUUCUGUGUAGUGGCUGUGAUUAGUACAGGAUGCUGAGUGUGUAGAGGCUUUGAUUAGUACAUGAUUAUGUGUAGUGGCUGUGAUUAGUACAGGAUGCUGAGUGUGUAGAGGCUUUGAUUAGUACAUGAUUCUGUGUAGUGGCUGUGAUUAGUACAGG
Pelobates cultripes (western spadefoot toad) is the source of this 675-nucleotide non-coding RNA. The record is from the annotation of a GenBank genome assembly. Lineage: Eukaryota; Metazoa; Chordata; Amphibia; Anura; Pelobatidae.